UGCAUAUCAAUUAACGGAGGAAAAGAAACUAACAAGGAUUCCCCUAGUAACUGCGAGUGAAGAGGGAAAAGCUCAAAUUUAAAAUCUGGCAGCUUCGCUGUCCGAGUUGUAAUUUAGAGAAGUGUUACCCGCGUUGGACCGUGUAUAAGUCUCCUGGAAUGGAGCGUCAUAGAGGGUGAGAAUCCCGUCUUUGACACGGACUACCAGGGCAUUGUGGUACGCUCUCGAAGAGUCGAGUUGUUUGGGAAUGCAGCUCUAAAUGGGUGGUAAAUUCCAUCUAAAGCUAAAUAUUGGCGAGAGACCGAUAGCGAACAAGUACCGUGAGGGAAAGAUGAAAAGAACUUUGGAAAGAGAGUUAAACAGUACGUGAAAUUGCUGAAAGGGAAACGCUUGAAGUCAGUCGCGUUGGCCAGGGAUCAGCCUUGCUUUUUGUGAGGUGUACUUCCUGGUCGACGGGUCAGCAUCAGUUUUGACCACUGGAAAAAGGCUUGGGGAAUGUGGCACCUUCGGGUGUGUUAUAGCCCUUUGUUGUAUACAGUGGUUGGGACUGAGGAACUCAGCACGCCGCAAGGCCGGGUUUCGACCACGUUCGUGCUUAGGAUGCUGGCAAAAUGGCUUUAAGCGACCCGUCUUGAAAACACGGACCAAAAA
This 651-nucleotide ribosomal RNA is filed under the name Marasmius mbalmayoensis. Its description in RNAcentral is "eukaryotic LSU rRNA". It matches the Rfam family "Eukaryotic large subunit ribosomal RNA", at positions 37 to 672 of the family's 3401-position model. Lineage: Eukaryota; Fungi; Basidiomycota; Agaricomycetes; Agaricales; Marasmiaceae. The record is from RNAcentral.